CGUCGCCUCAACCUUGAUUUCUCAGCAAGACAUCUUGCGACUCCUCAUGUCAUCUCUGUGGCGGCUCCGCGAUUGCCUCCCUCCGUUGCCGUGACCAAGCUUCCUUCGCGAUCAGAAGCCACGUUAUCUCCUAGCUCCCAAAGUCGUCGAUCUCACUUCCAAUUGUAGAAGAUCUCAAGCCGCGGUAGCCAAUCUCACUUCUAUUUUCGUCUGAAGAUCGUCUCCGACUCUUCCACUUCGUCAUCACCGUUUUGGCUCUCUGUAAUUCGUCGCUACCGCGACCCACUUUGAUUAAUUAAUUAUGUUCUUAACUCCUUUCGUCUCUUUUUAUAUAGAGAUUUCAGUUCCUCGACAUGUUACUCAUAGCGUCUAGGGUUUCGGUCCAAUCCCAUCUAUGUGGAUUAGUUUCUCACCCAAGAGGAUUCAAUAACGUUGUUUGGAAGUUCUUCUUGGAUUGCUCUUCCUCCUCUGAUCCACCAUUGGUUAACACUUCUAAAAGGCAAGUGGAAAGUCUACGGCUGUUUACCAAAAGCUCGCUUAGAGACACUUUCCAAAAUUAUGACAUGUUCCUAAGAAGCCAUAAAAAACAGAUCUAUAUGACAAUAAAGCAAGAGAAAGCAUGGUAUGAACAUCAAGGACACCAUCAAAGAACUUGCUAAGGAGUUCAAAGAUGAUCUCACCCCAAGAAAGUCAUCUAUAAAGCUGAUGAUCCAAAACGAGCUCACUAAAUUAGCAGAAGUGGUAGAUGAAGGAGAGGAAGAAGGGGAGAAAAAAUAAGAACUUGGUUUGAUGCAAAAAUAGUGAUGGGGAGUGUAAGAGGGAAGAAGAUGAUGUUGGUCAGUGAUUCUUUGAAACCAAAGAAUGUAUUUCUCUUUCUAUGCUUCCUUAGUACUCAAAUCCCAGAAAGUUCAAAAUCCAAGGACAUGUUUGGUUUCUUCACCUUCUUAUCUCUCAAGGCUUACAAUGCAAUGACUGAGUACUUUUAGGCACCAUUUCUUCUACAAUCGAAUUGAGAUAAUGAUACUGUUCAUACAGUAUCAGAUCAGAUUAUGAGGAGAAGACUCCAUCGGUAAACAUGGUAGGCACUGGCCAGAAAUUGACAUAGUUGUGUUCAACACAUACUUUUGGUGGAGAACUUACGUCAAGAUGAAAAUCGUGUAUAUUUUAAAUCACGAAGUUAAAAACUUUGCUCAAACAGUUUUGCAAUGUUUCUAACCAAGCUAACUUGAUGCAUAUAACAUAAUAUCAAAAUACAUUUGGUGUACACUCUUUUAUUAGUUAAGCUUUUCUAUAGUAAUUUAAAAGGAGGUAUUUGUAGUUUUAAAUGUUGUAAAUGUUAUAUACGACUGAUGUAAUGGCUGAAAAACCUCUAUACAUAUUUCAUUUUAAAAUAA
Molecule: long non-coding RNA, 1394 nt
Organism: Brassica oleracea var. oleracea
Lineage: Eukaryota; Viridiplantae; Streptophyta; Magnoliopsida; Brassicales; Brassicaceae
Exons: 5
Source: RefSeq, a predicted model, not a curated record